This 650-nucleotide ribosomal RNA is filed under the name Harpilius lutescens. RNAcentral describes it as "SSU rRNA". It matches the Rfam family "Eukaryotic small subunit ribosomal RNA", at positions 1176 to 1804 of the family's 1831-position model. The record is from RNAcentral. Lineage: Eukaryota; Metazoa; Arthropoda; Malacostraca; Decapoda; Palaemonidae.
GUGGAGCCUGCGGCUUAAUUUGACUCAACACGGGAAACCUCACCAGGCCCGGACACCAGAAGGAUUGACAGAUUAAGAGCUCUUUCUCGAUUUGGUGGGUGGUGGUGCAUGGCCGUUCUUAGUUGGUGGAGUGAUUUGUCUGGUUAAUUCCGGUAACGAACGAGACUCUGGCCUACUAAAUAGUCGACGGGCGUUUUGGUGCAUGGGCCCCGUUCGACACAGUCUUCUUAGAGGGAUGAGCAGCGAGUAUAGCUGCAGGAGAUUGAGCAAUAACAGGUCUGUGAUGCCCUUAGAUGUCCUGGGCCGCACGCGCGCUACACUGAAUGGGUUAGCGGGUUGUCCUUCUCCGAGAGGAGCGGGAAAUCGCUUGAAAACCAUUCGUGAUAGGGAUUGGGGCUUGCAAUUGUUUCCCAUGAACGAGGAAUUCCCAGUAAGCGCAAGUCAUCAGCUUGCGUUGAUUAAGUCCCUGCCCUUUGUACACACCGCCCGUCGCUACUACCGAUUGAAUGAUUUAGUGAGGCCUUCGGACUGGCGGUCUUGGACUGGGGCGCCGGCGUUCCAGCAAUGGGCACCGGCGACCCGCCUAGACGGGCCGGAAAGAUGUCCAAACUUGAUCAUUUAGAGGAAGUAAAAGUCGUAACAAGGUUUCC